Vombatus ursinus (common wombat) is the source of this 593-nucleotide long non-coding RNA. RefSeq lists it as uncharacterized. NCBI's taxonomy places the organism in Eukaryota, Metazoa, Chordata, Mammalia, Diprotodontia, Vombatidae. The transcript has 3 exons. The record is from RefSeq and is a predicted model, not a curated record.
GUAAGUGUCUAAGGUUGGAUUUGAACUCAGAUGUUCCUGACUUUAGGUCUGGCACUCUAACCAUGGUGCCACUCAACUACCCCAGCUAAGGAGACUUAGAAAUGCCAGAGAGUGUGUGUUUGGGUCUUUGCUGGCUGCUGGACAGAUGUUCUGAUGACAUUGAUGGUGCUGAGCCUCCCAGGAUGUCUCAGUAGCAGGGAUAUCCAAGAAUUGCCUUUCUUGUGAGUCAGACUCACAAUGCAGCUUGAAUUAAUUGAUCGAUCAAACUUUGGCAACGCUCACAAUCACUAGUAUCCUUCUGCCUGUGCAUGUACCUGAAGUGAAGCGAAUCCUGUACCAGUCACAGAACUCUGGUCUUGUGACCCAGCAAGUAAAGACCCUCAAGGACUCGAGCAACAUUGUUUCCACUGGACUCCAGAAUUGUUGUAUUGUCUUCUAUCUGUGGGUUUGUGUGGGAAAUUGCUCAAGCCAGGGAAAACAUUGUUUGUAAUCCACCUUCCCCACUCCCUUCCCACUUGUGAUUUAUGUAUAUAAUCUCUGUCCUCCUUCAGCAAGGUGGAAUUCUGAUUGGGAGAAUUCCCGAUUUACAAAUC